UUGAAGUCAGUCGCGUCGGCCGGGGAUCAACCUUGCUUUCUUGCUGGGCGUAAUUCCUGAUCGACGGGUCAGCAUCGAUUUCGGUCGUCGUAGAAGGAUGGAAGUGAACGUGGCACUUCCUCGGGAGUGUGUUAUAGCCUUCCAUAAGGAUGCGACGGCUGGGAUCGAGGAACUUCGGCACGACCCCUCGAGGGUUCGGGGCCUUUUGGCUCACGUAGCGUGCUCAGGAUGCUGGCAUAAUGGCUUCAAGCGACCCGUCUUGAAACACGGACCAAGGAGUCUAACAUGCCUGCGAGUGUUUGGGUGGAAAACCCGGGCGCGAAAUGAAAGUGAAAGCUGGGACCUCUGUCGCGGAGGGCACCGGCGCCCGGACCUGAGCCUUUGGCGACGGAUCUGCGGUGGAGCAUGUAUGUUGGGACCCGAAAGAUGGUGAACUAUGCCUGAAUAGGGUGAAGCCAGAGGAAACUCUGGUGGAGGCUCGUAGCGAUUCUGACGUGCAAAUCGAUCGUCGAAUUUGGGUAUAGGGCGAAAGAC
Molecule: ribosomal RNA, 534 nt
Filed under: Pisolithus sp. 1 TL-2017
Lineage: Eukaryota; Fungi; Basidiomycota; Agaricomycetes; Boletales; Pisolithaceae
Description: partial 26S ribosomal RNA
Rfam family: Eukaryotic large subunit ribosomal RNA
Source: RNAcentral